AGAAUUUGGUUAUUAAGUCUUAUCUCUGUAUGUCCCUCAAAAGCCUAAUGGGCUCAUAGGUUCCUAACUAAAACUGCAUCACAAGAAAUGCCACCUGUCUCUUCAAUUAAAAAGCAGAAGAUAAAUUGUUGGACCUUGAAUCAUUGCUGAUGCUUCUACAAGGGAUACCAUUCAAGAGCUUCCUGUGAUGUACUAAGAAAUGUAUAAGUAUAGUCUCUGUUCCUGUUUCCAGCACACACCUCCCA
Fukomys damarensis (Damara mole-rat) is the source of this 245-nucleotide long non-coding RNA. RefSeq lists it as uncharacterized. The transcript is spliced from 3 exons. The record is from RefSeq and is a predicted model, not a curated record. NCBI's taxonomy places the organism in Eukaryota, Metazoa, Chordata, Mammalia, Rodentia, Bathyergidae.